RNAcentral lists this ribosomal RNA (409 nucleotides) under Fusobacteriota bacterium. Its description in RNAcentral is "Fusobacteria bacterium partial 16S ribosomal RNA". It matches the Rfam family "Bacterial small subunit ribosomal RNA", at positions 355 to 776 of the family's 1533-position model. Lineage: Bacteria; Fusobacteriati; Fusobacteriota. The record is from RNAcentral.
UGGGGAAUAUUGCACAAUGGAGGGAACUCUGAUGCAGCAACGCCGCGUGCGGGAUGACGGCCUUCGGGUUGUAAACCGCUUUCAGCCAUGACGAAGCUUUUGUGACGGUAGUGGUAGAAGAAGCACCGGCUAACUACGUGCCAGCAGCCGCGGUGAUACGUAGGGUGCGAGCGUUGUCCGGAAUUAUUGGGCGUAAAGAGCUUGUAGGCGGUUUGUCGCGUCGAUAGUGUAAACACGCAGCUUAACUGUGUGCCUGCUGUCGAUACGGGCUGACUAGAGGAGGGUAGGGGAGAAUGGAAUUCCCGGUGGAGCGAUGGAAUGCGCAGAUAUCGGGAGGAACACCAGUGGCGAAGGCGGUUCUCUGGACCUUUCCUGACGCUGAGAAGCGAAAGCGUGGGUAGCAAACAGG